Molecule: ribosomal RNA, 497 nt
Filed under: uncultured bacterium
Lineage: Bacteria
Description: partial 16S ribosomal RNA
Rfam family: Bacterial small subunit ribosomal RNA
Source: RNAcentral
GAUGGACGCUGGCGGUGUGCCUAAUACAUGCAAGUCGAGCGAACAGACGAGGAGCUUACUCCUCUGACGUUAGCGGCGGACGGGUGAGUAACACGUGGAUAACCUACCUAUAAGACUGGGAUAACUUCGGGAAACCGGAGCUAAUACCGGAUAACAUGUUGAACCGCAUGGUUCAACAGUGAAAGACGGUCUUGCUGUCACUUAUAGAUGGAUCCGCGUCGCAUUAGCUAGUUGGUAAGGUAACGGCUUACCAAGGCAACGAUGCGUAGCCGACCUGAGAGGGUGAUCGGCCACACUGGAACUGAGACACGGUCCAGACUCCUACGGGAGGCAGCAGUAGGGAAUCUUCCGCAAUGGGCGAAAGCCUGACGGAGCAACGCCGCGUGAGUGAAGAAGGUCUUCGGAUCGUAAAACUCUGUUAUUAGGGAAGAACAAAUGUGUAAGUAACUAUGCACGUCUUGACGGUACCUAAUCAGAAAGCCACGGCUAACUACGUG